Non-coding RNA from Schistosoma mansoni, 45 nucleotides. The record is from Rfam. NCBI's taxonomy places the organism in Eukaryota, Metazoa, Platyhelminthes, Trematoda, Strigeidida, Schistosomatidae.
AUCAAGCUGACGAGUCCCACGUAGGAUGAAACGCGCUUCCUGGAU